This is a long non-coding RNA of Sapajus apella (tufted capuchin), 87 nucleotides long. RefSeq lists it as uncharacterized. NCBI's taxonomy places the organism in Eukaryota, Metazoa, Chordata, Mammalia, Primates, Cebidae. The record is from RefSeq and is a predicted model, not a curated record. The transcript is spliced from 3 exons.
AAUAAAUUUGUGACAGACAUUAAAGGUCAAUAACUUUGUGACAUUAGUAUUUUGUCAAUAAUAGCAAUGCUCUACUCGUGUUUUUCU